RNAcentral lists this ribosomal RNA (495 nucleotides) under uncultured bacterium. RNAcentral describes it as "partial 16S ribosomal RNA". It matches the Rfam family "Bacterial small subunit ribosomal RNA", at positions 28 to 507 of the family's 1533-position model. The record is from RNAcentral.
GACGAACGCUGGCGGCGUGCCUAAUACAUGCAAGUAGAACGCUGAAGGAGGAGCUUGCUCUUCUGGAUGAGUUGCGAACGGGUGAGUAACGCGUAGGUAACCUGCCUGGUAGCGGGGGAUAACUAUUGGAAACGAUAGCUAAUACCGCAUAAGAGUAGAUGUUGCAUGACAUUUACUUAAAAGGUGCAAUUGUAUUACUACCAGAUGGACCUGCGUUGUAUUAGCUAGUUGGUGGGGUAACGGCUUACCAAGGCGACGAUACAUAGCCGACCUGAGAGGGUGAUCGGCCACACUGGGACUGAGACACGGCCCAGACUCCUACGGGAGGCAGCAGUAGGGAAUCUUCGGCAAUGGACGGAAGUCUGACCGAGCAACGCCGCGUGAGUGAAGAAGGUUUUCGGAUCGUAAAGCUCUGUUGUAAGAGAAGAACGAGUGUGAGAGUGGAAAGUUCACACUGUGACGGUAUCUUACCAGAAAGGGACGGCUAACUACGUG